RNAcentral lists this ribosomal RNA (391 nucleotides) under Wolbachia endosymbiont of Drosophila malagassya. Its description in RNAcentral is "bacterial SSU rRNA". It matches the Rfam family "Bacterial small subunit ribosomal RNA", at positions 1144 to 1533 of the family's 1533-position model. The record is from RNAcentral. Lineage: Bacteria; Pseudomonadati; Pseudomonadota; Alphaproteobacteria; Rickettsiales; Anaplasmataceae.
AGAGACUGCCGGUGACAAGCCGGAGGAAGGUGGGGAUGACGUCAAGUCCUCAUGGCCCUUAUGUCCUGGGCUACACACGUGCUACAAUGGCGAUGACAAUGGGAAGCUAGAUGGCGACAUCGUGCUGAUCUCAAAAAGUCGUCUCAGUUCGGAUUGCACUCUGCAACUCGAGUGCAUGAAGGUGGAAUCGCUAGUAAUCGCGGAUCAGCAUGCCGCGGUGAAUACGUUCCCGGGCCUUGUACACACCGCCCGUCACACCAUGGGAGUUGGUUUGACCUUAAGCCGGUGAGCGAACCCGCAAGGGGCGCAGCCGACCACGGUCGGGUCAGCGACUGGGGUGAAGUCGUAACAAGGUAGCCGUAGGGGAACCUGCGGCUGGAUCACCUCCUUU